AAUCCAUGGUGUGGGCAAUAUCGUAGCAAGUCCUUGUACCUCUCUCAGGCAUCAUACAUGCUCUCGUCAUCGAAUUACACAAAAGAAGAUAUGUCAUUUCUCAAUUU
This is a non-coding RNA of Ricinus communis (castor bean), 107 nucleotides long. The record is from Rfam. NCBI's taxonomy places the organism in Eukaryota, Viridiplantae, Streptophyta, Magnoliopsida, Malpighiales, Euphorbiaceae.